Balaenoptera musculus (blue whale) is the source of this 72-nucleotide small nucleolar RNA. The record is from Ensembl. Lineage: Eukaryota; Metazoa; Chordata; Mammalia; Artiodactyla; Balaenopteridae.
UGGACCAAUGAUGAUGAUCGUUUCGGGAAGAGUCCUGAACGAUGAAAACAUGUCUGAAACUCUGAGGUCCAA